This 214-nucleotide long non-coding RNA is filed under the name Trifolium pratense (red clover). RNAcentral describes it as "long non-coding RNA (TPRA_LNC010535)". The record is from RNAcentral. Lineage: Eukaryota; Viridiplantae; Streptophyta; Magnoliopsida; Fabales; Fabaceae.
UAUGGUGGUGGUGAUAAUUAGCUUUUGGGUUAACUUUAUAUAGAGCUUGUGUUUGAUAAUUAGCUAAAUUUACAUAUUCAAUAUUAGUGUCUCCAAGAAUUCUUUGUUUUCAAUUGCAUUAAUAGGAAAUUGUAACAUACAAUAUAUAUUUUAAUAAGAUAUUGCAAUGCAAUUAAAACAACAUGAUGCAUCAUUCCACCUUUCAUUACUUGCA